This 422-nucleotide ribosomal RNA is filed under the name Candidatus Nitrosopelagicus sp. Its description in RNAcentral is "partial 23S ribosomal RNA". It matches the Rfam family "Archaeal large subunit ribosomal RNA", at positions 2572 to 2987 of the family's 2987-position model. The record is from RNAcentral. Lineage: Archaea; Thermoproteati; Nitrososphaerota.
UAUCGACCCCGCGGUUUGGUACCUCGAUGUCGGCUUUUCCUAUCCUGGUCCUGCAGCAGGGGCCAAGGGUGAGGCUGCUCGCCUAUUAAAAGGGAACAUGAGCUGGGUUUAGACCGUCGUGAGACAGGUCGGUCUCUGCCUGAUGGAAGCGCGGCUGUCUGAGGGGAAGUUGCUCUCAGUACGAGAGGAACAGAGCAACGUGGCCACUGGUCUACCGGCUGUCUGAUAAGGCAGGCCGGGCAGCUAAGCCGUUUGGAUUAAGUGCUGAAAGCAUCUAAGCACGAAACCCAUCCCGAGACAAGACAGCCUUUCGUAAGAUGAAGGUUCGCAGAAGAAGACUGCGUUGAUAGGAUGGAUGUGUAGAUCACAAGCUUCGGCGAGUGGUGAGCAUGCCAUUACUAAUAGACCAACACAUCAGCACG